This 486-nucleotide unclassified non-coding RNA is filed under the name Hevea brasiliensis (rubber tree). The record is from RNAcentral. Lineage: Eukaryota; Viridiplantae; Streptophyta; Magnoliopsida; Malpighiales; Euphorbiaceae.
AACAACAAAGAGAAAAAUAAGUAUUGUGAGAUGGGAAGAGGGGGAACAGGACAAAGGCUGAAGAUUGGAACUCCUAGAAAUAGCUAUGAUAGCAAAUUCUAGAAUACAAUUACAGUGAAAACCCGUCAUAAUUAAUACAAAAGAUAUCAUAUAGAAUACAACUAAUGUAUAUAAACAUAUAUAAGUGACAAGUGAAAAACCCAAAACCCUUCUUACAGUGAAACCCAACAUGGCAAUUCAGCUACAUUAGAAUAGCACUACAACUAAAUAGUGACUAUUUCACUAUAACAGUAUAAAAAUUGCCAUAAAUGGCUACAUAUGAUCAACAUUAACAUGAAAAAAAAAUGAUAGACAUAAACCCCAACAACCCAUUUAACUAGAGGCUAAAAUGUACCAGUGCAGGAUCAUAAUCAACAUACUUAAAUGGAAAAGCCAAAUAACCCAUUUGUCCGAAACAAGAUUGUUAAUAAUAAUAAUAAUAAUAAU